RNAcentral lists this unclassified non-coding RNA (332 nucleotides) under soil metagenome. Its description in RNAcentral is "partial contains 5.8S ribosomal RNA, internal transcribed spacer 2, and large subunit ribosomal RNA". The stretch from base 1 to 120 matches the Rfam family "5.8S ribosomal RNA", at positions 35 to 154 of the family's 154-position model. The record is from RNAcentral.
GAUGAAGAACGUAGCAAAAUGCGAUAAGUAAUGUGAAUUGCAGAAUUCAGUGAAUCAUCGAAUCUUUGAACGCACAUUGCGCCCGCCAGUAUUCUGGCGGGCAUGCCCGUUCGAGCGUCAUUUCAACCCUCAAGCACAGCUUGGUGUUGGGACUCGCGUUAAUUCGCGUUCCUCAAAUUGAUUGGCGGUCACGUCGAGCUUCCAUAGCGUAGUAGUAAAACCCUCGUUACUGGUAAUCGUCGCGGCCACGCCGUUAAACCCCAACUUCUGAAUGUUGACCUCGGAUCAGGUAGGAAUACCCGCUGAACUUAAGCAUAUCAAUAAGCGGAGGA